Molecule: ribosomal RNA, 728 nt
Filed under: Streptomyces sp.
Lineage: Bacteria; Bacillati; Actinomycetota; Actinomycetes; Kitasatosporales; Streptomycetaceae
Description: bacterial SSU rRNA
Rfam family: Bacterial small subunit ribosomal RNA
Source: RNAcentral
UCUGGGACAAGCCCUGGAAACGGGGUCUAAUACCGGAUAACACUCUGUCCCGCAUGGGACGGGGUUGAAAGCUCCGGCGGUGAAGGAUGAGCCCGCGGCCUAUCAGCUUGUUGGUGGGGUGAUGGCCUACCAAGGCGACGACGGGUAGCCGGCCUGAGAGGGCGACCGGCCACACUGGGACUGAGACACGGCCCAGACUCCUACGGGAGGCAGCAGUGGGGAAUAUUGCACAAUGGGCGAAAGCCUGAUGCAGCGACGCCGCGUGAGGGAUGACGGCCUUCGGGUUGUAAACCUCUUUCAGCAGGGAAGAAGCGAGAGUGACGGUACCUGCAGAAGAAGCGCCGGCUAACUACGUGCCAGCAGCCGCGGUAAUACGUAGGGCGCAAGCGUUGUCCGGAAUUAUUGGGCGUAAAGAGCUCGUAGGCGGCUUGUUGCGUCGGUUGUGAAAGCCCGGGGCUUAACCCCGGGUCUGCAGUCGAUACGGGCAGGCUAGAGUGUGGUAGGGGAGAUCGGAAUUCCUGGUGUAGCGGUGAAAUGCGCAGAUAUCAGGAGGAACACCGGUGGCGAAGGCGGAUCUCUGGGCCAUUACUGACGCUGAGGAGCGAAAGCGUGGGGGAGCGAACAGGAUUAGAUACCCUGGUAGUCCACGCCGUAAACGUUGGGAACUAGGUGUUGGCGACAUUCCACGUCGUCGGUGCCGCAGCUAACGCAUUAAGUUCCCCGCCUGG